GGAUCAUUACAAGAAGCCGAAAGGCUACUUCAAACCAUCGCGAACUCGUCCAAGUUGCUUCGGCGGCGCGGCACCCCUUAACGGGGGCGCCGCAGCCCUGCCUCUCCGGAGGUCCGGGGCGCCCGCCGGAGGUACGAAACUCUGUAUUAUAGUGGCAUCUCUGAGUAUAAAACAAAUAAGUUAAAACUUUCAACAACGGAUCUCUUGGUUCUGGCAUCGAUGAAGAACGCAGCGAAAUGCGAUAAGUAAUGUGAAUUGCAGAAUUCAGUGAAUCAUCGAAUCUUUGAACGCACAUUGCGCCCGGUAGUACUCUACCGGGCAUGCCUGUUCGAGCGUCAUUUCAACCCUCAAGCCCUGCUUGGUGUUGGGGCCCUACGGCUGCCGUAGGCCCUGAAAGGAAGUGGCGGGCUCGCUACAACUCCGAGCGUAGUAAUUCAUUAUCUCGCUAGGGAGGUUGCGGCGUGCUCCUGCCGUUAAAGACCCAUCUUUAACCAAGGUUGACCUCGGAUCAGGUAGGAAUACCCGCUGAACUUAAGCAUAUCAAUAAGCGGAGGAAAAGAAACCAACAGGGAUUGCCCUAGUAACGGCGAGUGAAGCGGCAACAGCUCAAAUUUGAAAUCUGGCUUCGGCCCGAGUUGUAAUUUGUAGAGGAUGCUUUUGGUGAGGUGCCUUCUGAGUUCCCUGGAACGGGACGCCAGAGAGGGUGAGAGCCCCGUAUAGUCGGCCACCGAUCCUUUGUAAAGCUCCUUCGACGAGUCGAGUAGUUUGGGAAUGCUGCUCAAAAUGGGAGGUAUAUCUCUUCUAAAGCUAAAUAUAGGCCAGAGACCGAUAGCGCACAAGUAGAGUGAUCGAAAGAUGAAAAGCACUUUGAAAAGAGGGUUAAAUAGCACGUGAAAUUGUUGAAAGGGAAGCGCUUGUGACCAGACUUGUGCCGGGCUGAUCAUCCAGUGUUCUCACUGGUGCACUCGACCCGGCUCAGGCCAGCGUCGGUUUUCGUGGGGGGAUAAAAGCUUCGGGAACGUGGCACCUUCGGGUGUGUUAUAGCCCGUUGCUUAAUACCUCCGUGGAGACCGAGGU
RNAcentral lists this ribosomal RNA (1077 nucleotides) under Sordariomycetes sp. genotype 32. RNAcentral's name for it is "eukaryotic LSU rRNA". The stretch from base 499 to 1077 matches the Rfam family "Eukaryotic large subunit ribosomal RNA", at positions 1 to 592 of the family's 3401-position model. The record is from RNAcentral. Lineage: Eukaryota; Fungi; Ascomycota; Sordariomycetes.